GGGUUGACCCGGGCGAAAGGGACCGAAAUAUAGUAGGGAAGUCCGUGAUGCUCGGAGGCGAGAAAAGCUCAUGUGUAUACUAAGGUGCCCGUACCGCAAACCGACACAGGUAGAUGAGGAGAGAAUCCUAAGGCCAACGGGAGAAGGGUUGUUAAGGAACUCGGCAAGAUGACCCCGUAACUUCGGAAGAAGGGGAGCCUCGAAAGAGGCCGCAGUGAAUAGGCCCAAGCAACUGUUUACCAAAAACACAGAUUUAUGCUAAAUCGAAAGAUGACGUAUAUGAGCUGACGCCUGCCCGGUGCCGGAAGGUUAAGAGGAGAUGUCAACCGCAAGGUGAAGCAUUGAAUUGAAGCCCCGGUAAAACGGCGGCCGUAACAAUAACGGUCCUAAGGUAGCGAAAUUCCUUGUCAGGUAAGUUCUGACCCGCACGAAAGGCGUAAUGAUUUGGGCACUGUCUCAACAGCCCGCCCGGCGAAAUUGUAGUACUGGUGAAGAUGCCAGUUACCCGCAACUAGACGGAAAGACCCCAUGGAGCUUUACUGCAGCUUAAUACUGGAAUUCGGUAAAUCAUGUACAGGAUAGGUGGGAGACAGGGAAGCAUUGGCGUCAGCCAGUGUGGAGUCGCUGGUGGGAUACCACUCUUGAUUUGCUGGGUUUCUAACCUGCGGCCGUGAAUCCGGUCGGGGGACACUGUUAGGCGGGCAGUUUGACUGGGGCGGUCGCCUCCAAAAGAGUAACGGAGGCGCUCAAAGGUUGGCUCAGCACGGACGGAAAUCGUGCAAUGAGUGUAAACGUAUAAGCCAGCCUAACUGCGAGACCGACGGGUCGAGCAGUAACGAAAGUUGGAGUUAGUGAUCCGGUGGUAUGUGAGUGGAAAUGCCAUCGCUCAACGGAUAAAAGCUACCCUGGGAUAACAGGCUGAUCUCCCCCAAGCGUCCACAGCGACGGGGAGGUUUGGCACCUCGAUGUCGGCUCGUCACAUCCUGGGGCUGUAUUCGGUCCCAAGGGUUCGGCUGUUCGCCGAUUAAAGUGGCACGCGAGCUGGGUUCAGAACGUCGUGAGACAGUUCGGUCCCUAUCUGUUGCGGGCGAAAGAGAUUUGAAGGGAGCUGUCCUUAGUACGAGAGGACCGGGAUGGACGUACCUCUGGUGCACCAGUUGUCCUGCCAAGGGCAUAGCUGGGUAGCUAUGUACGGACGAGAUAAACGCUGAAAGCAUCUAAGCGUGAAACUCCCCCUAAGAUGAGAUCUCUCAUCCUUCAUGGAGUAAGGGCCCAGGAAGACUACCUGGUUGAUAGGCAAGAGGUGGAAGCGCAGUAAUGUGUGUAGCUGACUUGUACUAAUAGCCCGAGGGCUUGACCG
RNAcentral lists this ribosomal RNA (1360 nucleotides) under metagenome. RNAcentral's name for it is "bacterial LSU rRNA". It matches the Rfam family "Bacterial large subunit ribosomal RNA", at positions 1549 to 2925 of the family's 2925-position model. The record is from RNAcentral.